RNAcentral lists this microRNA precursor (78 nucleotides) under Octodon degus (degu). The record is from RNAcentral. Lineage: Eukaryota; Metazoa; Chordata; Mammalia; Rodentia; Octodontidae.
GCUACUUGAAGAGAGGUUUUCCUUUGUGUGUUUGCUGUACUGGCUUCAAUAUGCAAGGGCAAGCUCUCUGCUAGGAGC